Long non-coding RNA from Glycine soja, 1219 nucleotides. RefSeq lists it as uncharacterized. The transcript is spliced from 2 exons. NCBI's taxonomy places the organism in Eukaryota, Viridiplantae, Streptophyta, Magnoliopsida, Fabales, Fabaceae. The record is from RefSeq and is a predicted model, not a curated record.
UAUAUAUAUUGUGAUUGGUGACAAAAUGGUUUUCAACUCCUUUGUGUAACUCAUUUUACGUUCACACACAAACAUGAGGCCUUCCAAAUUCCACUGAACUGCUGUAAGUUUCUUUCACACAUUUCUCCUUCUGAUGUUUGUUCUUUUCAGUUUUCAUUUAGUUUAUCAUUAUUGUUUCCUAUUUUCUUCUUUCACACCCUUUUUGUCCCCUCCUGCCUUUGCUAUUUUCCUCUUUUGGUUUCGUUGCUCACUAUUUUUAUUUCUUGCCUGUAGCGUUCAUCAAAUUGGUUGGCCACCACCCGUUUUACAGCACCAUUACGUGUUGACAGGGUUGGGAUUCACAGCCACAAACAUCCUUUAGUUAACAACAUUCUAAAUUUUUAAAAAAACAUACUUGUGUUGACAUGUUUUUGGUGCAGAACGUUGUGGAGGUCCCAUUGUCUUUUCAUAGGCAAUGGAUGUACCGUUACCCAAACUAUGUUUUAUUCAACUGUGAUGGCACCAAGCAUUUUAUUAGGGUGAGGAGAUAUGGUAGAAGAUGUUUUUUUGUUGAUGGCCUUAAGGAUUUCAGAAGAGCCUACAAUGUAAAUAAGAGUGUCAUGGUUUGUUUUAUUGCUUUUGACAUAAAUACAACUUUGUCUGUUGAUGUCAUGGGACCUAUACACAGGCAAGUGCGUGUAAGGUCUGUUGUGUCAACCAGGAGACAUUUUUACAACUGAUGUCACAGACGACAUGAUUCAUCACAGGCUCCCUUUGGUGGGUUUUACUACGCCUUCUAUCAUCGAAAAAUUUUCUUUCAACAGCGGCUUCCAGAUUUGUUUAUGGUUCCAAAAAAUAUAUUACGCUUCAGUGGGGGCUGGAAAAAUGCACCUAAUGGCAGGUCACCAUCAACGAUGGGGUGCCAUCAAUUGCUGACCCAUGGUUUCGGUACCUUGGUGAAAAAAAAUUGAUGGCUAGAGAUGAAGUUGUCUUCUACUUCCAGUUUGAUGACCAUGCAUGGGAGCUUUUGAUCAGGAAAGAAAUUGAAUGGGAGGAGCAGGACAUCCAGCUUGAAGACUGACUUCUUUUUUAUGAACAAAAUUUUAUUGUAUUUUUUUAAAAAAAAAACUUAAAUACCUUAGGAUAUUGAACAAUCUUUUGUAUUUUGUUCCUGUCGUGGAUCAUCAUCCUCAAAUUUAACCACUUUAUAUAUUAUCUGUUAUAUUACUUCAAAUGUUAA